Molecule: long non-coding RNA, 233 nt
Filed under: Elaeis guineensis (African oil palm)
Lineage: Eukaryota; Viridiplantae; Streptophyta; Magnoliopsida; Arecales; Arecaceae
Description: long non-coding RNA (EGUI_LNC063344)
Source: RNAcentral
CCUCCACCAGAUCCUUCAUAAAACCGAACUUCCCCAACGGAUCAUCUUCAGGCGAGUUUUCACAUCGGGCGAAUCCUAGACGAACUUCUCUAGCAAUCAGAUUCCUACCGGGCUUCACCAAUGAAAAGUCUCUAUCUGAACUUCUACAGCAGGUGACUCCCACCUGUAGUAUCAAUGCCUAAGGUACCCGACAACAGUAGAUUCGGGGACAUCCGAGCUUCUCCCAGACCAAC